Molecule: ribosomal RNA, 422 nt
Filed under: uncultured bacterium
Lineage: Bacteria
Description: partial 16S ribosomal RNA
Rfam family: Bacterial small subunit ribosomal RNA
Source: RNAcentral
AAUCUUUGACAAAGUGGGAGACCCUGAUCCAGCCAUCCCGCGCGUAUGAUGAAGAACUUCGGGUUGUAAAGUACUUUUGGCAGAGAAGAAAAGGUAUCUCCUAAUACGAGAGACUACUGACGGUUCCUGCAGAAUAAGCAGCGGCUAACUACGUGCCAGCAGCCGCGGUAAUACGUAGGAUGCAAGCGUUAACCGGAAUUACUGGGCGGCAAGCGUGUGUAGGCAGUUCGGAAAUAAAGAUGUGAAAUCCCAGGGCUCAACCUUGGAACUGCAUUUUUAACUGCCGAGCUAGAGUAUGUCAGAGGGGGGUAAAAUUCCACGUGUAGCAGUGAAAUGCGUAGAUAUGUGGAGGAAUACCGAUGGCGAAGGCAGCCCCCUGGGAUAAUACUGACGCUCAGACACGAAAGCGUGGGGAGCAAACA